RNAcentral lists this ribosomal RNA (484 nucleotides) under uncultured bacterium. RNAcentral's name for it is "partial 16S ribosomal RNA". It matches the Rfam family "Bacterial small subunit ribosomal RNA", at positions 30 to 507 of the family's 1533-position model. The record is from RNAcentral.
AUUGAACGCUGGCGGCAGGCCUAACACAUGCAAGUCGAGCGGAUGAAGGGAGCUUGCUCCUGGAUUCAGCGGCGGACGGGUGAGUAAUGCCUAGGAAUCUGCCUGGUAGUGGGGGAUAACGUCCGGAAACGGGCGCUAAUACCGCAUACGUCCUGAGGGAGAAAGUGGGGGAUCUUCGGACCUCACGCUAUCAGAUGAGCCUAGGUCGGAUUAGCUAGUUGGUGGGGUAAAGGCCUACCAAGGCGACGAUCCGUAACUGGUCUGAGAGGAUGAUCAGUCACACUGGAACUGAGACACGGUCCAGACUCCUACGGGAGGCAGCAGUGGGGAAUAUUGGACAAUGGGCGAAAGCCUGAUCCAGCCAUGCCGCGUGUGUGAAGAAGGUCUUCGGAUUGUAAGGCACUUUAAGUUGGGAGGAAGGGCAGUAAGUUAAUACCUUGUUGUUUUGACGUUACCAACAGAAUAAGCACCGGCUAACUUCGUG